AUUGAACGCUGGCGGCAGGCCUAACACAUGCAAGUCGAGCGGAUGAAGGGAGCUUGCUCCUGGAUUCAGCGGCGGACGGGUGAGUAAUGCCUAGGAAUCUGCCUGGUAGUGGGGGAUAACGUCCGGAAACGGGCGCUAAUACCGCAUACGUCCUGAGGGAGAAAGUGGGGGAUCUUCGGACCUCACGCUAUCAGAUGAGCCUAGGUCGGAUUAGCUAGUUGGUGGGGUAAAGGCCUACCAAGGCGACGAUCCGUAACUGGUCUGAGAGGAUGAUCAGGCACACCGGAACUGAGACACGGUCCAGACUCCUACGGGGGGCAGCAGUGGGGAAUAUUGGACAAUGGGCGAAAGACUGAUCCAGCCAUGCCGCGUGUGUGAAGAAGGUCUUCGGAUUGUAAAGCACUUUAAGUUGGGAGGAAGGGCAGUAAGUUAAUACCUUGCUGUUUUGACGUUACCAACAGAAUAAGCACCGGCUAACUUCGUG
This 484-nucleotide ribosomal RNA is filed under the name uncultured bacterium. RNAcentral's name for it is "partial 16S ribosomal RNA". It matches the Rfam family "Bacterial small subunit ribosomal RNA", at positions 30 to 507 of the family's 1533-position model. The record is from RNAcentral.